AUUUGGAGAGGAUGUUUCUGGCAAGGCGCCGUCCGAGUUCCUUGGAACAGGACGCCAUAGAGGGUGAGAGCCCCGUACCGGCGGAUGCCUAGCCUUUGUGAAACUCCUUCGACGAGUCGAGUAGUUUGGGAAUGCUGCUCAAAAUGGGAGGUAAAUUUCUUCUAAAGCUAAAUAUUGGCCAGAGACCGAUAGCGCACAAGUAGAGUGAUCGAAAGAUGAAAAGCACUUUGAAAAGAGGGUUAAAAAGUACGUGAAAUUGUUGAAAGGGAAGCGCCUAUGACCAGACUUGCGGCCUACGGACCAUCCGGCGUUCUCGCCGGUGCACUCCGUGGGCUGCAGGCCAGCAUCGGUUUUCCUAGGGGGAUAAAGGCCGCAGGAACGUAGCUCUUUCGGGAGUGUUAUAGCCUGUGGUGUCAUGCCUCUGGGGAGACCGAGGACCGCGCUUCGGCAAGGAUGCUGGCGUAAUGGUCAUCGGCGACCCGUCUUGAAACACGGACCAAGGAGUCAAGCAUUGGAGCGAGUGUCUGGGUGCCAAACCCGCACGCGAAAUGAAAGUAAACGUAGGUGAGAGCUUCGGCGCAUCACCGACCGAUCCUGAUGUCUUCGGAUGGAUUUGAGUAAGAGCUUUAACGCUUGGACCCGAAAGAUGGUGAACUAUGCCUGAAUAGGGUGAAGCCAGAGGAAACUCUGGUGGAGG
RNAcentral lists this ribosomal RNA (697 nucleotides) under Ophiostoma cf. ponderosae TAD-2016. Its description in RNAcentral is "eukaryotic LSU rRNA". It matches the Rfam family "Eukaryotic large subunit ribosomal RNA", at positions 148 to 873 of the family's 3401-position model. The record is from RNAcentral. Lineage: Eukaryota; Fungi; Ascomycota; Sordariomycetes; Ophiostomatales; Ophiostomataceae.